AGGACGAACGCUGGCGGCGUGCUUAACACAUGCAAGUCGAGCGGAAAGGCCCUUCGGGGUACUCGAGCGGCGAACGGGUGAGUAACACGUGAGUAAUCUGCCCCUAGCUCUGGGAUAGCUCCGGGAAACCGGGAUUAAUACCGGAUACGACCACUUUAGACAUCUGUUGUGGUGGAAAGAAUUUUGGCUAGGGAUGAGCUCGCGGCCUAUCAGCUUGUUGGUGGGGUAAUGGCCUACCAAGGCGACGACGGGUAGCCGGCCUGAGAGGGCGACCGGCCACACUGGGGACUGAGACACGGCCCAGACUCCUACGGGAGGCAGCAGUGGGGAAUAUUGCGCAAUGGGCGAAAGCCUGACGCAGCGACGCCGCGUGGGGGAUGAAGGCCUUCGGGUUGUAAACCCUUUCAGCAGGGACGAAGCGAAAGUGACGGUACCUGCAGAAGAAGCGCCGGCUAACUACGCGCCAGCAGCCGC
This 474-nucleotide ribosomal RNA is filed under the name uncultured bacterium. Its description in RNAcentral is "SSU rRNA". It matches the Rfam family "Bacterial small subunit ribosomal RNA", at positions 26 to 518 of the family's 1533-position model. The record is from RNAcentral.